GACGAACGCUGUCGGCGUGCUUAACACAUGCAAGUCGAACGGAAAGGCCCUGCUUUUGUGGGGUGCUCGAGUGGCGAACGGGUGAGUAACACGUGAGUAACCUGCCCUUGACUUUGGGAUAACUUCAGGAAACUGGGGCUAAUACCGGAUAGGAGCUCCUGCUGCAUGGUGGGGGUUGGAAAGUUUCGGCGGUUGGGGAUGGACUCGCGGCUUAUCAGCUUGUUGGUGGGGUAGUGGCUUACCAAGGCUUUGACGGGUAGCCGGCCUGAGAGGGUGACCGGCCACAUUGGGACUGAGAUACGGCCCAGACUCCUACGGGAGGCAGCAGUGGGGAAUAUUGCACAAUGGGCGGAAGCCUGAUGCAGCAACGCCGCGUGCGGGAUGACGGCCUUCGGGUUGUAAACCGCUUUCGCCUGUGACGAAGCGUGAGUGACGGUAAUGGGUAAAGAAGCACCGGCUAACUACGUGCCAGCAGCCGCGGUGAUACGUAGGGUGCGAGCGUUGUCCGGAUUUAUUGGGCGUAAAGGGCUCGUAGGUGGUUGAUCGCGUCGGAAGUGUAAUCUUGGGGCUUAACCCUGAGCGUGCUUUCGAUACGGGUUGACUUGAGGAAGGUAGGGGAGAAUGGAAUUCCUGGUGGAGCGGUGGAAUGCGCAGAUAUCAGGAGGAACACCAGUGGCGAAGGCGGUUCUCUGGGCCUUUCCUGACGCUGAGGAGCGAAAGCGUGGGGAGCGAACAGGCUUAGAUACCCUGGUAGUCCACGCUGUAAACGGUGGGUACUAGGUGUGGGGUCCAUUCCACGGGUUCCGUGCCGUAGCUAACGCUUUAAGUACCCCGCCUGGGGAGUACGGCCGCAAGGCUAAAACUCAAAGGAAUUGACGGGGCCCCGCACAAGCGGCGGAGCAUGCGGAUUAAUUCGAUGCAACGCGUAGAACCUUACCUGGGUUUGACAUGGAUCGGGAGUGCUCAGAGAUGGGUGUGCCUCUUUUGGGGUCGGUUCACAGGUGGUGCAUGCCUGUCGUCAGCUCGUGUCGUGAGAUGUUGGGUUAAGUCCCGCAACGAGCGCAACCCUUGUUCACUGUUGCCAGCACGUUAUGGUGGGGACUCAGUGGAGACCGCCGGGGUCAACUCGGAGGAAGGUGGGGAUGACGUCAAGCCAUCAUGCCCCUUAUGUCCAGGGCUUCACGCAUGCUACAAUGGCUGGUACAGAGAGUGGCGAGCCUGUGAGGGUGAGCGAAUCUCGGAAAGCCGGUCUCAGUUCGGAUUGGGGUCUGCAACUCGACCUCAUGAAGUCGGAGUCGCUAGUAAUCGCAGAUCAGCAACGCUGCGGUGAAUACGUUCCCGGGGCU
Molecule: ribosomal RNA, 1346 nt
Filed under: uncultured bacterium
Lineage: Bacteria
Description: partial 16S ribosomal RNA
Rfam family: Bacterial small subunit ribosomal RNA
Source: RNAcentral